GAUGAACGCUGGCGGCGUGCUUAACACAUGCGAGUCGAACGGAAAGGCCCAAGCUUGCUUGGGUACUCGAGUGGCGAACGGGUGAGUAACACGUGGGUGAUCUGCCCUGCACUUCGGGAUAAGCCUGGGAAACUGGGUCUAAUACCGGAUAGGACGAUGGUUUGGAUGCCAUUGUGGAAAGUUUUUUCGGUGUGGGAUGAGCUCGCGGCCUAUCAGCUUGUUGGUGGAGUAAUGGCCUACCAAGGCGUCGACGGGUAGCCGGCCUGAGAGGGUGUACGGCCACAUUGGGACUGAGAUACGGCCCAGACUCCUACGGGAGGCAGCAGUGGGGAAUAUUGCACAAUGGGCGCAAGCCUGAUGCAGCGACGCCGCGUGGGGGAUGACGGCCUUCGGGUUGUAAACUCCUUUCGCUAGGGACGAAGCGUUUUUGUGACGGUACCUGGAGAAGAAGCACCGGCUAACUACGUG
Molecule: ribosomal RNA, 468 nt
Filed under: uncultured bacterium
Lineage: Bacteria
Description: partial 16S ribosomal RNA
Rfam family: Bacterial small subunit ribosomal RNA
Source: RNAcentral